CCCUUAGAUGUUCUGGGCCGCACGCGCGCUACACUGUUCGACGCAGCGAGUCUUAACCUUGACCGAAAGGUUUGGGUAAUCUUCAGCAAAGUCGAACGUGAUGGGGAUCGAUCAUUGCAAUUAUUGAUCGUGAACGAGGAAUUCCUAGUAAGUGCAAGUCAUCAGCUUGCGCUGAUUACGUCCCUGCCCUUUGUACACACCGCCCGUCGCUACUACCGAUUGAAUGGUUUAGUGAGAUCUCUGGAUUGACGCUGGCUAGGGGGCGACCCUUGGCCAGGCUGUCGAGAAACUGCUCAAACUUGGUCAUUUAGAGGAAGUAAAAGUCGUAACA
Molecule: ribosomal RNA, 331 nt
Filed under: uncultured eukaryote
Lineage: Eukaryota
Description: partial 18S ribosomal RNA
Rfam family: Eukaryotic small subunit ribosomal RNA
Source: RNAcentral